Molecule: unclassified non-coding RNA, 307 nt
Filed under: plant metagenome
Description: partial contains 5.8S ribosomal RNA, internal transcribed spacer 2, and large subunit ribosomal RNA
Rfam family: 5.8S ribosomal RNA (bases 1-105)
Source: RNAcentral
GAAAUGCGAUAAGUAGUGUGAAUUGCAGAAUUUAGCGAAUCAUCGAAUCUUUGAACGCACAUUGCGCCCCUUGGUAUUCCAUGGGGCAUGCCUGUUCGAGCGUCAUUUCAACCCUCAAGCACUGCUUGGUGUUGGGCGUUUGUCCCGCCUACGCGCGUGGACUCGCCUCAAAGUCAUUGGCGGCUGUUGCCCUUCGGCUCGUAAGCGCAGCACAGUCGGCGCCCGGAGCUCUGGUGGGAUGGCGUCCAGCAAGCUAUAUUUUCAGGCUUGACCUCGGAUCAGGUAGGGAUACCCGCUGAACUUAAGC